AGUGGGAUGGUUGGGUCAAAUGAUCGUUUCAUUCUAAGUUUUCUGAGGAAUUUCCAUACUGAUUUCCAAAGUGGUUGCACCAAUUUGCAGUCCCACCAGCUGU
Molecule: microRNA precursor, 103 nt
Filed under: Marmota monax (woodchuck)
Lineage: Eukaryota; Metazoa; Chordata; Mammalia; Rodentia; Sciuridae
Source: RNAcentral